AUUGAACGCUGGCGGCAUGCUUUACACAUGCAAGUCGAACGGUAACAGGCCGCAAGGUGCUGACGAGUGGCGAACGGGUGAGUAAUGCAUCGGAACGUGCCCAGUCGUGGGGGAUAACUACUCGAAAGAGUAGCUAAUACCGCAUACGAUCUAUGGAUGAAAGCGGGGGACCGUAAGGCCUCGCGCGAUUGGAGCGGCCGAUGUCAGAUUAGGUAGUUGGUGGGGUAAAGGCUCACCAAGCCAACGAUCUGUAGCUGGUCUGAGAGGACGACCAGCCACACUGGGACUGAGACACGGCCCAGACUCCUGCGGGAGGCAGCAGUGGGGAAUUUUGGACAAAGGGCGCAAGCCUGAUCCAGCAAUGCCGCGUGCAGGAAGAAGGCCUUCGGGUUGUAGACUGCUUUUGUACGGAACGAAACGGCUCUGGUUAAUACCCGGGGCUAAUGACGGUACCGUAAGAAUAAGCACCGGCUAACUACGUG
This 482-nucleotide ribosomal RNA is filed under the name uncultured bacterium. RNAcentral's name for it is "partial 16S ribosomal RNA". It matches the Rfam family "Bacterial small subunit ribosomal RNA", at positions 30 to 507 of the family's 1533-position model. The record is from RNAcentral.